This 498-nucleotide ribosomal RNA is filed under the name uncultured bacterium. RNAcentral describes it as "partial 16S ribosomal RNA". It matches the Rfam family "Bacterial small subunit ribosomal RNA", at positions 899 to 1397 of the family's 1533-position model. The record is from RNAcentral.
ACUCAAAUGAAUUGACGGGGACCCGCACAAGCGGUGGAGCAUGUGGUUUAAUUCGAUGCAACGCGAAGAACCUUACCUGGCCUUGACAUGUCGAGAAUCCCGAAGAGAUUUGGGAGUGCCGCAAGGAACUCGAACACAGGUGCUGCAUGGCUGUCGUCAGCUCGUGUCGUGAGAUGUUGGGUUAAGUCCCGCAACGAGCGCAACCCUUGUCCUUAGUUGCCAGCAUUUAGUUGGGCACUCUAAGGAGACCGCCGGUGACAAACCGGAGGAAGGUGGGGAUGACGUCAAGUCAUCAUGGCCUUUAUGGCCAGGGCUACACACGUGCUACAAUGGUAAGUACAGAGGGAAGCCAAGUCGCGAGACGGAGCCAAUCCCAGAAAACUUAUCGUAGUCCGGAUCGGAGUCUGCAACUCGACUCCGUGAAGUCGGAAUCGCUAGUAAUCGCAGAUCAGCAUUGCUGCGGUGAAUACGUUCCCGGGUCUUGCACACACCGCCCGU